Small nucleolar RNA from Sorex fumeus (smoky shrew), 245 nucleotides. RefSeq annotates it as small nucleolar RNA SNORA53. The transcript has a single exon. NCBI's taxonomy places the organism in Eukaryota, Metazoa, Chordata, Mammalia, Eulipotyphla, Soricidae. The record is from RefSeq and is a predicted model, not a curated record.
AAUGUACUUUCUUAGAUCUGGUCUUUGUAGGAGAGAUCUUGAACUGGAUUCUAUGUGUAAAUAUUCAUUUCUUUUUGUUUCCGUGAAAGAAACAUCCAGCCCCCUUUUGGGUUGUGUAGUCAAAGGUGCUUGAGUCACUAGCCCGUGAGAUGGAACAGCUGCAUGCUGGCCUUGGGCCUGAUAGGAUUGACCUGCAAUUAUGCUGCCAUUCUUUAGCACAAAGUCUUGACUGGUAUGCAGAUAUU